Molecule: ribosomal RNA, 498 nt
Filed under: uncultured bacterium
Lineage: Bacteria
Also listed under: 1 other name
Description: bacterial SSU rRNA
Rfam family: Bacterial small subunit ribosomal RNA
Source: RNAcentral
ACUCAAAGGAAUUGACGGGGGCCCGCACAAGCGGAGGAACAUGUGGUUUAAUUCGAUGAUACGCGAGGAACCUUACCCGGGCUUGAAAUGCAUUCGACUGGGUCGGAAACGGCCUUUCCCUUCGGGGCGGAUGCGUAGGUGCUGCAUGGUUGUCGUCAGCUCGUGCCGUGAGGUGUCGGCUUAAGUGCCAUAACGAGCGCAACCCCUGUCGUCAGUUGCCAUCGGUAUAAGCCGGGGACUCUGGCGAGACUGCCAUCGUAAGAUGCGAGGAAGGUGGGGAUGACGUCAAAUCAGCACGGCCCUUAUGUCCGGGGCGACACACGUGUUACAAUGGGCGGUACAGCGGGAAGCUACCCGGCGACGGGGAGCCGAUCCCGAAAUCCGCUCACAGUUCGGAUCGGAGUCUGCAACUCGACUCCGUGAAGUCGGAUUCGCUAGUAAUCGCGCAUCAGCCACGGCGCGGUGAAUACGUUCCCGGGCCUUGUACACACCGCCCGU